GAGUUUGAUCAUGGCUCAGAUUGAACGCUGGCGGCAGGCCUAACACAUGCAAGUCGAACGGUAACAGGAAGAAGCUUGCUUCUUUGCUGACGAGUGGCGGACGGGUGAGUAAUGUCUGGGAAACUGCCUGAUGGAGGGGGAUAACUACUGGAAACGGUAGCUAAUACCGCAUAACGUCGCAAGACCAAAGAGGGGGACCUUCGGGCCUCUUGCCAUCGGAUGUGCCCAGAUGGGAUUAGCUAGUAGGUGGGGUAACGGCUCACCUAGGCGACGAUCCCUAGCUGGUCUGAGAGGAUGACCAGCCACACUGGAACUGAGACACGGUCCAGACUCCUACGGGAGGCAGCAGUGGGGAAUAUUGCACAAUGGGCGCAAGCCUGAUGCAGCCAUGCCGCGUGUAUGAAGAAGGCCUUCGGGUUGUAAAGUACUUUCAGCGGGGAGGAAGGGAGCAAAGUUAAUACCUUUGCUCAUUGACGUUACCCGCAGAAGAAGCACCGGCUAACUCCGUGCCAGCAGCCGCGGUAAUACGGAGGGUGCAAGCGUUAAUCGGAAUUACUGGGCGUAAAGCGCACGCAGGCGGUUUGUUAAGUCAGAUGUGAAAUCCCCGGGCUCAACCUGGGAACUGCAUCUGAUACUGGCAAGCUUGAGUCUCGUAGAGGGGGGUAGAAUUCCAGGUGUAGCGGUGAAAUGCGUAGAGAUCUGGAGGAAUACCGGUGGCGAAGGCGGCCCCCUGGACGAAGACUGACGCUCAGGUGCGAAAGCGUGGGGAGCAAACAGGAUUAGAUACCCUGGUAGUCCACGCCGUAAACGAUGUCGACUUGGAGGUUGUGCCCUUGAGGCGUGGCUUCCGGAGCUAACGCGUUAAGUCGACCGCCUGGGGAGUACGGCCGCAAGGUUAAAACUCAAAUGAAUUGACGGGGGCCCGCACAAGCGGUGGAGCAUGUGGUUUAAUUCGAUGCAACGCGAAGAACCUUACCUGGUCUUGACAUCCACAGAACUUUCCAGAGAUGGAUUGGUGCCUUCGGGAACUGUGAGACAGGUGCUGCAUGGCUGUCGUCAGCUCGUGUUGUGAGAUGUUGGGUUAAGUCCCGCAACGAGCGCAACCCUUAUCUUUUGUUGCCAGCGGUCCGGCCGGGAACUCAAAGGAGACUGCCAGUGAUAAACUGGAGGAAGGUGGGGAUGACGUCAAGUCAUCAUGACCCUUACGACCAGGGCUACACACGUGCUACAAUGGCGCAUACAAAGAGAAGCGACCUCGCGAGAGCAAGCGGACCUCAUAAAGUGCGUCGUAGUCCGGAUUGGAGUCUGCAACUCGACUCCAUGAAGUCGGAAUCGCUAGUAAUCGUGGAUCAGAAUGCCACGGUGAAUACGUUCCCGGGCCUUGUACACACCGCCCGUCACACCAUGGGAGUGGGUUGCAAAAGAAGUAGGUAGCUUAACCUUCGGGAGGGCGCUUACCACUUUGUGAUUCAUGACUGGGGUGAAGUCGGAACAAGGUAACCGUAGGGGAACCUGCGGUUG
RNAcentral lists this ribosomal RNA (1521 nucleotides) under metagenome. RNAcentral's name for it is "bacterial SSU rRNA". It matches the Rfam family "Bacterial small subunit ribosomal RNA". The record is from RNAcentral.